AUGGCGGGGCGUUGGCGGGGCGGUGGCAUGGGGAUCGCCGAAGAAAAAGCUCGGCACGGGGGGCCUAGAGGGAUGGCCGGGGCAGCGGUGGACCAGCGGUAG
RNAcentral lists this ribosomal RNA (102 nucleotides) under Triticum aestivum (bread wheat). Its description in RNAcentral is "partial small subunit ribosomal RNA". Lineage: Eukaryota; Viridiplantae; Streptophyta; Magnoliopsida; Poales; Poaceae. The record is from RNAcentral.